UUCAUCUUCGCGGAGGGAGGUUUUGUCCGAGUCUCAAGCAUUUCUGCAUGCCAUGCCAUGCACAGAGGGCGUGAUGGCCCAUCGCCACCAACCUCUCUCUCUCAUGAUGCUUCGAGCCUCGUAAAUCUUGAAUUGGGGGCCACUCCCCAUCGCCGCGUUCCGAUCAUACCUUCAACCAGCAGCGUUGUUAAUCCUGAAUCCCUCUUUUCAACAAAAGUUGUGUCUCGAAAUUUGGGGUUCUAUGGGAUGAGAUUGAGUUUUCACGUCGGAGGGCAGGCACCUCGCAGCGCACAAUUACGCGCGACGGACCGUUGUGGGGAAGGUACCGAGGCGCAAGCUUCGAGCUUUAGUGAGAUAUGAAGGUUCUGCGGCGUGAUUGAUCGUUGAAGAGGUGGUGGAAUAUGGGGGGAUGAAGCAAGCGGCAUGGCGCUGGGAUUGUGGAGAUUUGAAGGGGAAUCGCGAGAGGUUCUGUAUGGCUGUCGCAGAGGAGCAUGAGUGAUGGACGCAUCCGAAUUGGUGCUUUGGAGUAGGUCCUUGAGGGCAGGGUUCCUGGUUGCGACCGUUCUUGGAUUGGUGGUGGUGAAGGGAAAGAGCGUCAUCUGGAGUGUGCAGAAUGUGGGUGUUCUAUGCAUUGGCAGGGCCCAUCGCAUUGGGCAUGGUCACGGGUGUGUUGCAGUACUUCGCUGCCCGCACUGUGCCCUUGCACGUCCGUGUUGUUGUAGGUUACGCUUGGUUGUGCGCCAUCUCUAUCAUCGUGCUUGUGCCCGCUGACAUCUGGACUACUGUUCAUUUGCCUGACCGUAAGCCUAGCAUUGCUACAUUAUGGAGCUGGUCAUAUUGGAGCACUUUCUACCUUACCUGGUUUGUUGUGCCGACAUUACAGGGUUACGAGGACGCUGGGGAUUUUACGGUGUCAAAGAGACUGAAGACAAGCAUUCAUCAGAACUUUUCCUUUUAUGGGGCUGUGGGAUUUGUUGGGAGUGUGGGGGUUCUGAUUAUGAUCUUCAUGAACAAACUACACUGGGAUGGGCUUCUAGCAUUAGCAAUUGCCUGCUCCAACACUUUUGGACUAGUUACGGGUGCAUUUCUUCUGGGUUUUGGCCUGGUAGAAAUCCCUCGAAGCAUGUGGCGCAAUGCAAAUAUGGAGUAUCGCCAGAAAUACCUGACUCACAAAAUUGCACGAUGUGCCGUCAAGCUGGAUGACGCUCAUCAGGAGCUGUCCACUGCAAUUGUUAUUGCACAAGCAACUUCAAAUCAGAUGCCAAGCCACGAUAUACUACGGCCAUGCAUGGAUGUAAUCGAUGACAUGAUGGUGGAAAUGUAUAGGGGAGACCCAGCAUUCAAGCCAUCUGGUGGAAGAAUGGGUGAAAACGAUAUGGACUAUGAUCAGAAUGAGAAAUCGAUGGCUGCACUUCGAAGGCGUCUUCGUAAAGCACAGAGUGCGUACUAUCGAUACAAAAGUGACUACACGUUAUAUAUUUGGGAGGCACUUGAAUUGGAAGAGAUAGUGAAGAAUGUUCAGCGGGGGAGUAAUACAGAUGGGCGAUUUGUGUCGACAAUUCGACCACAACGUACUGGCCCCCUUGCUGAUUUUCUUGAUAGAGCUGAGUAUGUGUGGUGCUCGCAACUUAAACAGUAUGUGGUUAAAAUUUCAGCUAUAUUUCUAGGAACCAUGUCUCUUGCAAUUGUGAUGGCUGAAGCCACCCUUAUGGUCGAAGCAGAUCUUUCUCUCUUGUCUUUGCUGCUCAGAGCGGUUGGAAAUUCAGAAAUACUGGUACAGGUGGUUGCAUUUGUACCUUUGGCAUAUAUGUGUGUGUGUACGUAUUUUUCUCUUAUCAAGUUGGGAAUGAUGACAAUUUAUUAUCUAGCGCCAAAGCAAACUAGCUCUGUCAGCUUACUCAUGAUUUGCUCGAUGAUUGCGAGGUAUGCAGCACCCCUCUGUUACAACUUUCUGGGCCUGAUCAAGCUCAAGAAUGCAGACGGAACCGAUCAGAAAACUGUUUUUGAGGAUAAAAUGGGUUCUAUGACUGUAAUCCCCUUCAUUGGAGAUGAAAGAUUCAACACUUUCUAUCCAAUAUUCAUGGUAAUUUACACUGGCUUACUGGCCAGCAAUGUCUUGAACCGUACAAUGAGUUACUUCGGCAGCUGGCGAUAUUUUAGAAGCCGUGACGCUGAAGAUGGUCAAGGGUUUGAUCCGUUGGGUCUUGUCAUUCUCCGUAAAGAGCGGUCUUGGCUUCAGCAGGGUGCUGUAGUAGGAGAGAAUGUUGUGCCCCUAGCUCGCAACUUUGGCAGCGCUGAAUUGGACGUUGAACCUGAGGGAACCAAUAUGAAGAAGGCAACUUCUGACAAACAGGACUUGCAACAGAACUCAUCUUUGAUUAGUGCAUACAGUGCACCACCAGAUAAACACGAAGGCUCUGCUUAUUAUCAAUAUGGACGAGUGAAAAAUUCCCCAUCUAAGAGUGAUAUUGUUUCCAAGUACGCCACACUUCGAGAUGUUUCUAAAGCACCCUCCAGUGGCAAUCACAAGAUCCCAAAGAGAGAACCUUCUGGUAACAAUAUCAGAGACCCUUUCGAAGUGCAACAUGGGGAGUUGACGAGAGGGGUGACUCCCUCAACGAAGUCACCGGAACCUCCAGCAUCAACUGACUUGCAAACUGCAUCGCCUAGAAAUCCUCAACAGUUGGAUAGCUCAGUUGGUAUCAAGUUUCCAGUGAACUGGGACAUAAUGAAGUCUGGGUGGCAGAACUUAGGAACAAAUCGGUUUUCCCCUGAAAGAAAUGACACGGUUAGAAGUCCACCACAACCCACUUCCACACAGACACUAGAUAGAAUUUUCGAAGGCCUGAGAGCAAGGAACUGAGUUUUAUAUCAAAGGUCCUGCAUCUGGAACUACUCUUUCGUGGAAGCUGAAUGCUAACGUCUUCCCUUGAUUAAUGUGCAUUUGUGAAUACCGAGGAAGUGCAAGGAUGUACAAGAUUUGAAUUUUAUAUUUUGAAUGAUAGAUAAAACAAGAAACAAACAAAUGAUUGUUUGGCAUGCAGGGUGUGAGAGGAUAUCAUUAAAUUCAAUUGAUGACAUAUAUAUAUAUAUAUAUAUAUAUAUGUAUACAUACUAGUUGAACCUGUGUGCCAUUGUCAUAGAGAAUAUGCAAAAAUAUAUUAUACUAGAAAUUGGGUACAUCUUCAAUAUCAAUAAUAAUGAAACAAUGUUGUAAAAUUGAGCUUUUAAGUAUGCAUAAGUAUACAUACUUACAUGCAUAUGUGUAAUGAAUGUGGUUGUUAAUUAAUAACAUCACAUACUUGUGUUA
Molecule: RNA transcript, 3310 nt
Organism: Physcomitrium patens
Lineage: Eukaryota; Viridiplantae; Streptophyta; Bryopsida; Funariales; Funariaceae
Source: RefSeq, a predicted model, not a curated record